GAAUAUCGUAGCUCAGUUGGCAGAGCAUUGGACUAGUAUUCCAAAGGUCGUGGGUUCGAUUCCCACCGUGGUCA
This 74-nucleotide transfer RNA is filed under the name Paramuricea clavata. Its description in RNAcentral is "tRNA-Thr". It matches the Rfam family "tRNA". Rfam says of the family: Transfer RNA (tRNA) molecules are approximately 80 nucleotides in length. Lineage: Eukaryota; Metazoa; Cnidaria; Anthozoa; Malacalcyonacea; Plexauridae. The record is from RNAcentral.